RNAcentral lists this ribosomal RNA (390 nucleotides) under uncultured microorganism. RNAcentral describes it as "bacterial SSU rRNA". It matches the Rfam family "Archaeal small subunit ribosomal RNA", at positions 330 to 725 of the family's 1478-position model. The record is from RNAcentral.
GCGCAGCAGUCGAGAAUACUUUACAAUGUGCGAAAGCACGAUAAGGGAACUCUGAGUGCCUCCUAAGGAGGCUGUUCAGGUGUCUAAAAGCACCUGAAGGAAGGGCUGGGUAAGACCGGUGCCAGCCGCCGCGGUAACACCGGCAGCCCAAGUGGUAGCCACGUUUGUUGGGUCUAAAGCGUCCGUAGCCGGCUGGGUAAGUUCCUUGGGAAAUUUGGCUGCUUAACAGUCAAGCUUUCAGGGAAUACUGCCCGGCUUGGGGACCGGGAGAGGUCAGAGGUACUCCAGGGGUAGGGGUGAAAUCCAUUAAUCCUUGGGGGACCACCGGUAGCGAAGGCGUCUGACCAGACCGGGUCCGACGGUGAGGGACGAAGGCUAGGGGCGCGAACC